This 1524-nucleotide long non-coding RNA is filed under the name Olea europaea subsp. europaea. The record is from RNAcentral. Lineage: Eukaryota; Viridiplantae; Streptophyta; Magnoliopsida; Lamiales; Oleaceae.
UAGCUACCUUGCCCUUAUGCCCGUCAAUAUCUCCCAAAUUUUUUUUUUUCUUUUUUCUUGUAACUCAUGCUAUGAGUCGGGGUAUCCAUUAAGUUUAAAGCAAUUCUCAUGCGUGUGCCAUAAAUUUCCACAAUAGGAACAUUUGGCCCCUUCAGUAAUAAUUUUUUCCUUUAGGUUGUGUGACUUACUGUGGCCCAUAUAAAGCUGCCCGUUAGAAGAAUUAGUGGCCAGUUCUUUCUUCACUCUUUUGGUAGCCAAAAUUGCUCCGGUGGAACUGUCAACGUCAGUGGAGGUCAUCACCAACUGUCGAAGCGCCUCUCUACGAACAUGGGCGUAGGCCUAUUUUAUGGAAGGGAAUGGUUUCAUCUACAAUACACUGCUGUGAAUCCCGUCCAGGUGGUCAUCUAGCCCAUCCAAGAAGCUCGAUCUUCUUGAAGCAUCUUAUUGUAAUGUUGGAUAUCAAUGGCGUAUUCCAUCGGGUUGGGGCGGCGAAAAUCAAUUUCAUGCCAUAGUCCCUGUAACUCCAUAUAGUCCAAUGAGCCACCAAAUUCUCUCAGCCGAGUAACACACUAUCGAAGUUCAUAGACCUGAGAAGCAUCACUGCCGUCGAAGUAAGUUAUUGCAAUAGCGUCCAAACCUCCUUUGUUGUGGAAAUCAAAUGAAGUUUCCAAUCAAGGCUGGGUCCAUAGAGUUAAUUAACCAUCUCUUUACAAAGGCGUUAUCAGUUCGCCACUUUCGAAAGCCGGGGUCAGUCUCUGCAGGUGGUGGAAGGUUACUGUUCACGUAGCCCAACUUAUCUUUCCCGGAGAUGUAUGUCUUCAUAACUUGGGACCACAGGGGAUAGUUCGAUCUAUCUAAUUUAAUGCCAUUGGGGUUGAAUUUUUGGUGUUUAGGUUUGAUUUUUGGGUUUUUAAUAAAGCUUCUACCAUCUUUUGUGUGAAUUCUUGGAAGAGAGCCUCGGGGUUGGGUGGAUUAUCUCCUACGUUGGUGAUAACUCCUGUGUCAGCCAUGUGUUUGAGAAAAUGUUUACAAGAGGAAGGAUAGGAUUUUUGAUAAAGAGGGUGCCAUGGAUCAAUUUUCUGCUCUGAUACCAUGUUUCAAAAAGGUAAGCCUUUUUCUUCAAUUUUCGGUAUGAACCAUUACAUUGAGUUGGAUACAUAUAAAUAGGGAGAUUCUGCAAUCUAUUUUUGCCUAUACAUAAUUGAUGCCUAGUAUCAUGCUUGAUUAGGGGAAUUUACAUUGAUUUGUAUUUCCUAUCUUGAUUUCCUACGGCUCAUGCGAACAGAUACUUUGCAUCGGUAGAGGAUCGAGCUAUUGUUGAAUUCUCUAAACUGAGUAAUGGCUUAUGAAAAUUUCAUGAACAUUUCUGGCUAAAUGAAAAUAUCAUAAAAUUCAAGGAUUAUGUGGAAAUCUGCACCAAUUUCCUAAUAUGAUUUAAAUUGAAAGUCAUAAAAAAAGGACUGGGAUCAUGUAACCGUCCCUGUCACGAUUAUCCGAUGUAUCUCCACCCCCAUUUAGGAUGGA